GUGCGAGCCCACCUGGCUGGACUCCGAGGACCGCUCCUUCCUGCUGUACACCAGCGGCAGCACCGGCAAGCCCAAGGGCGUGGUGCACUGCGUGGGCGGCUACAUGGUGGGCGUGGGCGUCAGCUGCCGCUACCUGUACGACAUGCGGCCCGGCGACGUGGUGUUCACCACCGCCGACUGGUGAGGGGGGAGGCGGUGAGGAGGGCAGGGAUGCGGGUUUUGCAUGCCUCAGUGGUUUGGAGGGAGGUUGUAGGGCAGGAGGUGGCGUGCAACACCGAUUCAGUGUUGUUGUGUGCGCGCCGUCCUGUAUCCCGCUGUCCCUGGUAGACCCCCGAGCCGGCAGCCCCUCCCAGCGGCCUCCCGCCUCUUUCCACUCCCAAGCGCUGCUUCUUCUAUUUGCGUCCUAGAGCCUCUCUGCGCGGGUAGCAAGCUCUCAAAUGCCCCUAACUUGCACCCAACCACCCACGGGUCACCC
This 475-nucleotide long non-coding RNA is filed under the name Chlamydomonas reinhardtii. RNAcentral's name for it is "long non-coding RNA (CREI_LNC000666)". The record is from RNAcentral. Lineage: Eukaryota; Viridiplantae; Chlorophyta; Chlorophyceae; Chlamydomonadales; Chlamydomonadaceae.